This 614-nucleotide ribosomal RNA is filed under the name Naganishia uzbekistanensis. RNAcentral describes it as "partial large subunit ribosomal RNA". It matches the Rfam family "Eukaryotic large subunit ribosomal RNA", at positions 53 to 655 of the family's 3401-position model. The record is from RNAcentral. Lineage: Eukaryota; Fungi; Basidiomycota; Tremellomycetes; Filobasidiales; Filobasidiaceae.
GAGGAAAAGAAACUAACAAGGAUUCCCCUAGUAACGGCGAGUGAAGCGGGAAGAGCUCAAAUUUGAAAUCUGGUAGCCUUCGGCUGCCCGAGUUGUAAUCUAGAGAAGUGUUUUCCGUGCCGGCCCAUGUACAAGUCCCUUGGAACAGGGCGUCAUAGAGGGUGAGAAUCCCGUCCUUGACAUGGACCCCCGGUGCUUUGUGAUACACUUUCAACGAGUCGAGUUGUUUGGGAAUGCAGCUCAAAAUGGGUGGUGAAUUCCAUCUAAAGCUAAAUAUUGGCGAGAGACCGAUAGCGAACAAGUACCGUGAGGGAAAGAUGAAAAGCACUUUGGAAAGAGAGUUAAACAGUACGUGAAAUUGUUGAAAGGGAAACGAUUGAAGUCAGUCAUGCUCUUUGGAUUCAGCCGUUCUGCGGUGUAUUUCCAUUGAGUGGGGUCAACAUCAGUUUUGACCGCUGGAUAAAGGCACUAGGAAGGUAGCACUCUCGGGUGAACUUAUAGCCUAGCGUCAUAUACAGUGGUUGGGACUGAGGAACGCAGCAUGCCUUUAUGGCCGGGAUUCGUCCACGUACAUGCUUAGGAUGUUGACAUAAUGGCUUUAAACGACCCGUCUU